GCAUUGGUAGUUCAGUGGUAGAAUUCUCACCUUCCAUGCAGAAGACCCUGGUUCAAUUCCUGGCCAAUGCA
Molecule: transfer RNA, 71 nt
Filed under: Loxodonta africana (African savanna elephant)
Lineage: Eukaryota; Metazoa; Chordata; Mammalia; Proboscidea; Elephantidae
Rfam family: tRNA
About the family: Transfer RNA (tRNA) molecules are approximately 80 nucleotides in length. Their secondary structure includes four short double-helical elements and three loops (D, anti-codon, and T loops).
Source: Rfam by way of RNAcentral